Molecule: long non-coding RNA, 1364 nt
Organism: Lotus japonicus
Lineage: Eukaryota; Viridiplantae; Streptophyta; Magnoliopsida; Fabales; Fabaceae
Exons: 11
Source: RefSeq, a predicted model, not a curated record
CUGCAGCACAAAUUGGGGAGAGGCCAUCGCGAGCAGUUCAUAACAAUAACUGGAGCUAGGGCUACAUAUUUGGCAUGUGCAGUCUGACGCCCAACUAGCUGACAAUGAAGCAUGGUCGAUGUCUCAUUUGGAGAGGUUGCACAGAUAAGAUUUUCUAUUGUACUCUGAAUCAAGCAUCAAGUUUUAGUGAAAACUCUAAGUUCAUCAAGGGCUGCUAGAUAGGAAGCAGAGUCACCGGGCAACAAGGCUGUCAUCAUGCAAAAUCCGGAUUUGAUUGGGGCAUUUCAUUUCAGUGCAGAUUUGAUAUCAGUUAUGGAUAGAUUGAUAAUCGAGAUUCUUCGGAACCUAAGAUCAGUCCAGAGAAAGCUGUGCAGAUUUGUGAUCGAAACUUUGGUGUUGGUGUUGAUGGGGAUAUCUUUUUCUUACCUGGAAUCAAUGGCACUGACUAUACUAUGAGGAUUUUCUACUUUGAUGGUAGUGAGCCUGAGGUUCAAUUUUAUUCUUCGAUCUGAAUCGGUUUUGGAAUUUUUCUCAUCAAUUGACUCGGAUGAUUUGGCUGUUUGAAAUAGGCUCAAAAGCAAGUGUAAGAGAUUAGUCAACUUUGGAGCCAAGGAAGUUUUUGAUAUUGAGAUGAUACUAAAGCAGGCAUGACUCAUAGUAGAUUGCUCAUAAUGGAAGAGAAGGAAAUUAUGGGCAUGACGGACAUGUGUAUCAUCCCCUGAUAGAAUCCAAUAACAACAAUAGAUAACUGAUUAUGGUGUGGAGAGUGACUAUAUUGAUCGGACCACGAAAGAUGAACUUCAUAUUGAAAUCGUUAUGUUUUCAUCUUUAUGUUUAAGAAUUUCUAAUGGAGAAACUAUUACUGGGCGUGGAGAGGCAAACUUUUAGGUGUUUGUGGUGAUGUUGUGUUUGUAUGCAAGGUGAAAAAAGUGAGUUUGGUGAAAUGAUGCAUUGCAGGUUUCUUGCAAGAAGCUAUGAGAAUGCUGACUCUCCUUUCCAGAUUCAGAUAUUUCUAUCUUGGACAUUUUUUCAUCUGGCAUCCGGGAGAUAUGGUUAUUAAAUCUCGAAGAUUCUGUACUUGAGAGCUUGAUCUUGAAAUUGAAAGGGGAAAUUGACUAUUGAUUUUUCAUUUUGUGUUAUGGAGUUUAUAAAAGUAGGGAAGAAUAUGAUUUUAUCAUUUUGUGCUAUGGAGUUUCUGUAAGAUGAACAAGGUCUAAGGAUGUAUGUUUUGCCUUUAGCUAAACUAAUUCAAUGAUUGUGUUAUUGUUGUUUUCUUUCACGGUUCAUCAUUUAGAGGACAUAUAUUAUUUUGAGAAGAAAAUUUUGGAGGAAAUUGGUAUUGUCAACAAUAGAGAAACAUGUUA